RNAcentral lists this unclassified non-coding RNA (336 nucleotides) under soil metagenome. RNAcentral describes it as "partial contains 5.8S ribosomal RNA, internal transcribed spacer 2, and large subunit ribosomal RNA". The stretch from base 1 to 120 matches the Rfam family "5.8S ribosomal RNA", at positions 35 to 154 of the family's 154-position model. The record is from RNAcentral.
GAUGAAGAACGCAGUGAAAUGCGAUAAGUAAUGUGAAUUGCAGAAUUCAGUGAAUCAUCGAAUCUUUGAACGCACAUUGCGCCCGCCAGUAUUCUGGCGGGCAUGCCUGUUCGAGCGUCAUUUCAACCAUCAAGCCCCCGGCUUGUGUUGGGGACCUGCGGCUGCCGCAGGCCCUGAAAAGCAGUGGCGGGCUCGCUGUCACACCGAACGUAGUAGCAUACAUCUCGCUCUGGGCGUGCUGCGGGUUCCGGCCGUUAAACCACCUUCAUAACCCAAGGUUGACCUCGGAUCAGGUAGGAAGACCCGCUGAACUUAAGCAUAUCAAUAAGCGGAGGA